This 304-nucleotide ribosomal RNA is filed under the name uncultured bacterium. RNAcentral describes it as "partial 16S ribosomal RNA". It matches the Rfam family "Bacterial small subunit ribosomal RNA", at positions 506 to 807 of the family's 1533-position model. The record is from RNAcentral.
CAGCAGCAGCCGCGGUAAUACGUAGGGUGCAAGCGUUAAUCGGAAUUACUGGGCGUAAAGCGUGCGCAGGCGGUUAUAUAAGACAGAUGUGAAAUCCCCGGGCUCAACCUGGGAACUGCAUUUGUGACUGUAUAGCUAGAGUACGGCAGAGGGGGAUGGAAUUCCGCGUGUAGCAGUGAAAUGCGUAGAUAUGCGGAGGAACACCGAUGGCGAAGGCAAUCCCCUGGGCCUGUACUGACGCUCAUGCACGAAAGCGUGGGGAGCAAACAGGAUUAGAUACCCCUGUAGUCCCUGUCUCUUAUAC